This 1387-nucleotide long non-coding RNA is filed under the name Piliocolobus tephrosceles (Ugandan red Colobus). RNAcentral's name for it is "lncRNA (ENSPTEG00000014841.1)". Lineage: Eukaryota; Metazoa; Chordata; Mammalia; Primates; Cercopithecidae. The record is from RNAcentral.
AACAAUUGUAUUAAUAAUCACGAAUUAAACAAAAAAAUUAAUUUAUUUUUAAAGUUUUUACAAUUCAAAUUUCAAUCCACUUUUAAUAUUCAGUCUGAUAAUAAUGACCAAACAACAAUGUUUAAUUCUUUUAUUACAUAUUUAGAUACAUAUAGAAACAUAUUUACCGACUUUAAUCUAAAUUAUAUCCUUAAUCCUUAUGAAAGGAAAGGAACUACUAUAAAAGAAAUUGUAUAUUUUGAAAAAGGAAAAGCAAAAAAGAUAAAAUUAAAAAGGGAUAGUAGUGCCAAUAACAUAAACAAUACAAACUCCAGUAAUAGUAAUAAAAAAUGUAAUGAUUACCUAUACUUACUACAACAACAAUCCUUAACCAGUUCAUUAAACAAUUUUAUUUUUUUAUAUAAAAACUUUAAUAAAUCAAAAGAACAAUGGCAUAAUUUAUUUCGUAAUAUUAUUCAACAAUAUAUUAAUAAUUUGUUCUCUAUUGAUAAUAUUUAUAAAAGAAAAUUUCAGCACAAUGUAACGAAUGGUAAAGUAAUUAGUACAACAUCAGAUAACGAUACUUCUGUCAGUUUUGGUAAAAAAUCUGAUGACAAACAUGAUGGUCAUAAAAAAAAAAAAAAAAAAAAAAAAAAAAAACAGAACAAGUUAAUAAAUGAAAAAACAGUUAAAAACGAAAACACAAUUAAAAGAGAAAACACAAUUAAAAGAGAAAACACAAUUAAAAGAGAAAACACAAUUAAAAGAGAAAACACAAUUAAAAUUGAAAAACUGUUUAAAAACCAAUUUAAUUGUAUAUAUUCAUCAUUUAGAAAGGAAAACAUUUACUCUCGUUUUAUAAAUUUAAUUUAUAAACUAAAUAAAUUAAACAACAGUUAUGUAUUAUAUUUUUAUACAUACUUAAAUAUAAUUAAUUUUAUUAAACAAUUAUUUAUACAACAAAAUUUAUGUUUUUAUGAAAAUAUAGUAAAAGAGCAAAAUAUUUUUAUACAAGCAAAUACAAAAUUGUUAAAACAUAUUUUAAUUUAUGUACAUAUAUUAUAUGAACAAAAAAAAAAUAGUCAUAAUAAUUCUGACAUUUUUUAUAAACAAAAAUUAAAUAAUCUAUUGGUAAAUACACUUACUAGCUAUUUCCAUUCUAUUUUUGUAUGUAUAAAAAAUAAUAACAAUCAAAUUUUUGUUUUUCUUGACAGUUGGAAUAUAAAAAAUUGUUUUUCAAAUAACAGAAAAUCAACAAAUGAAGCCUUUCAUUGUUAUUUUGUUAAAAAUAUAUUUUUUUAUAUAUGUUUCCCAUUUUUAAAAAAUAAAAUAAAAGAUUAUUCUUUAACUGAUUAUAACUUAUAUUUCAUAAGCAAUGAUGAUAUUGAUAUAAAUUUGUUUUUUUCAG